Molecule: long non-coding RNA, 1698 nt
Organism: Dermacentor silvarum
Lineage: Eukaryota; Metazoa; Arthropoda; Arachnida; Ixodida; Ixodidae
Exons: 4
Source: RefSeq, a predicted model, not a curated record
UGGAAAAGGGAGUUUUUCUUUUAUUUGAGACUUUCCCUUACUUUUGUUUUCUUGGCCUGGUUCGUCUGCAUUUUUUAAGUGUGCGUCGUGCGAGGGCUACGGAGUAGUGUUGUUAUUUGUAUAUCUUUUAUUGGGACCCUCUGUUGGUUGAGAGUAAAUUUUUUCGGCUGCAUUCUUUGUGAGCACGCGUUUGGAGAACACUUGCUAAACAUCAGAAUAAAAAGGAGAGCAUAUGAGAUGCUGUCCCAUCAUCUGAAGCUGAAGAUUCGACAGACAUGAAGCCAGAUCUGUCUGAAUUGGCUGCUUUGGACAGGAGGAACAGUGGCCGAAGUCUCCUGCACCUUGCAACCUUUGAUGGUGAAACUAAUGCAUUGAUGCACCUUCUCCAGGAAGGAGCGGACCUCAACUUCUGCAAUUAAGCUGAGGUUAUUGCUUUUCUGCAUCGACAUGGUGCUAACUGCCAUGCCAAAGUUCUCCGUGAUAAAACGCCAUUGGACUUUGCAUGGAGUCCUGAUGCCGUCCAAGCGCUGAAUGCAGCCUUCAGAACCUGCACCUGUGCUGGAGAAGGCAGUGGCUGCGUGCAUUUGCAAGCAGGGUGCUUUUGACAGCAGGAAAGGAGGCACAGAAGUGGACUUCAAGCAAGAUCUGCCACAGAAAGGUCCCGUGGCAGGUGGCGACAACUACCAACAGUGUCCCCUGCCAUGAAAAACUGCCUGCAAAGAAGUCAAUUGCAGAAAGGUGGCCUCCCAUGUUUCACCAUUCGUUUUUGGCUGUGCCUUUUAUGCUUCUUCACCUACUGCUCUCGUGCACCUAUUAUGGUUGCUUUUCAAACUUUUCUUCCUCUUGCUAACUGAAUGCUGAGGUGAACUGUUACUGUGGUGCUGGCAAAAAUUUAUGGUGUGGCAUUCACUUUUAUAAAUUUUUUCAUGCUGUUGGCAUGUAAAAUAAUAGCACAUGUCCUAUCAUUUUGUGUUAUUGUCCUCGCAAUCUUUUUUUCCUCUUUGUCCUUCAGGAUCUAAAAAUUUUCCUUUGCUGUGUUUCAUGUGCAACUUUCUUGAGUUGAAAUUUGUGAACAUAAAGAUUUGUGUUUUGAAUGUAUAGGACAAAUAUAGUUGAUAUUGUGUGUGUGUGACACAGCUUCGUUUGUGCUCUCUAGAAACUGAAGCCUUCAACUUAUCGUUGUAAUUCAGGCAGAGAAGUUAAGGAGUAUGUUACUUUUAAAUGACUUUUAUUCAUUCAUUUCUAGCAAAUCAUAAUGCUUAGUCAGUUUACAUUUGUUAACUGAAAUUUAAAAUGUUGCCACAAGCUGUUAGUCAAUUAGUUUAGCAUGUCUUCUUAUUCACAGUGAUUAUAAGUUGGGAGGCGAUAUGGACAAGGAAUGACACUGCAAGCACUGAACUUGCAGCUUAUGAAAAUAUUAUGUAUGAUAAUCUGAGGUAUCUAGUAGGGAAUGGAAUAGCAAAUAAAAUGUCUAGUGGAGGCAAAAGGGAGGAAGACCUAUGCUGUUAUAGGUGUCGUUGAGUGGCCCCAAGGAAUAAAGCCUCUUAAUUUAAGGAACAAGUGUUAUGGUGCUGACACAUUUCCUGUCCCAGCCCCCCCCCCCCCCCCUUUUUUUUUCUUUUUUUGGAUGAAUAGCUAUGUGCCCUCUAAGCACAUAAUGAAACCUAAAGCCCCAGCAUGACAAAUAAUUAAUGGCCA